AGUGAACGCUGGCGGUAGGCCUAACACAUGCAAGUCGAACGGCAGCACAGUAAGAGCUUGCUCUUACGGGUGGCGAGUGGCGGACGGGUGAGGAAUACAUCGGAAUCUACUUUUUCGUGGGGGAUAACGUAGGGAAACUUACGCUAAUACCGCAUACGACCUACGGGUGUAAGCAAGGGAUCUUCGGACCUUGCGCGAUUGAAUGAGCCGAUGUCGGAUUAGCUAGUUGGCGGGGUAAAGGCCCACCAAGGCGACGAUCCGUAGCUGGUCUGAGAGGAUGAUCAGCCACACUGGAACUGAGACACGGUCCAGACUCCUACGGGAGGCAGCAGUGGGGAAUAUUGGACAAUGGGCGCAAGCCUGAUCCAGCCAUACCGCGUGGGUGAAGAAGGCCUUCGGGUUGUAAAGCCCUUUUGUUGGGAAAGAAAAGCAGCAGGUUAAUACCUCGCUGUUCUGACGGUACCCAAAGAAUAAGCACCGGCUAACUUCGUG
RNAcentral lists this ribosomal RNA (492 nucleotides) under uncultured bacterium. RNAcentral's name for it is "partial 16S ribosomal RNA". It matches the Rfam family "Bacterial small subunit ribosomal RNA", at positions 29 to 507 of the family's 1533-position model. The record is from RNAcentral.